CAAAUCCACAACUUCCUUCAACACAGCCUCCAGAACUUCAGGCUUCUCGUUCUCCCCCAUCUUCCAAUCUCUCUCUCUCUCUCUCUCUCUCUCUCUCUCUCUCUCUCUCUCUAACUGCCUUUCAGUAUCUGCAAUUUUCUCUCUAUAUAUCAUCAAUUACAGAUCACAACCCAUCAAAGAAGACCACAAAAGCAACAGAAGCCUGCACUAUUCAGAGAAAUCAAAGACUACACAGUAAUAAAGACCUGAUAGUAAAGAUCAAAUUGGUAUUUGUAGAGAGAAUGAGGGCUGGCUACCAACCACCUACACCAAAUCUGCAAGCAGUGGAACCGCUGAGAGAGAGAGUGGU
This 349-nucleotide long non-coding RNA is filed under the name Actinidia chinensis (golden kiwifruit). RNAcentral's name for it is "long non-coding RNA (ACHI_LNC003146)". Lineage: Eukaryota; Viridiplantae; Streptophyta; Magnoliopsida; Ericales; Actinidiaceae. The record is from RNAcentral.